Molecule: transfer RNA, 73 nt
Filed under: bacterium
Lineage: Bacteria
Description: tRNA-Thr
Rfam family: tRNA
About the family: Transfer RNA (tRNA) molecules are approximately 80 nucleotides in length. Their secondary structure includes four short double-helical elements and three loops (D, anti-codon, and T loops).
Source: RNAcentral
GCCACCUUAGCUCAGUUGGUAGAGCAAUGCUUUCGUAAAGCAGAGGUCCCCGGUUCGAUUCCGGGAGGUGGCU